RNAcentral lists this ribosomal RNA (497 nucleotides) under uncultured bacterium. RNAcentral's name for it is "partial 16S ribosomal RNA". It matches the Rfam family "Bacterial small subunit ribosomal RNA", at positions 28 to 507 of the family's 1533-position model. The record is from RNAcentral.
GAUGAACGCUGGCGGCGUGCCUAAUACAUGCAAGUCGAGCGAACAGACGAGGAGCUUGCUCCUCUGACGUUAGCGGCGGACGGGUGGGUAACACGUGGAUAACCUACCUAUAAGACUGGGAUAACUUCGGGAAACCGGAGCUAAUACCGGAUAAUAUAUUGAACCGCAUGGUUCAAUAGUGAAAGACGGUUUUGCUGUCACUUAUAGAUGGAUCCGCGCCGCAUUAGCUAGUUGGUAAGGUAACGGCUUACCAAGGCAACGAUGCGUAGCCGACCUGAGAGGGGGGCGCGCCCACCGGGAAGAUGAGACCGGUACCAGGCCCAGAGGGGGGGCAGCAGGGGGGAAUUGUCGGCAGGGGGAGAAAGCCGGACGGAGAAGCGCGGGGGGGGUAAUGAGGGUCUUGGUAUGUAAAACCGUGUUUUUGGGGAAAAAAAAAAUGGGAAAGUACCAAUCCCGGUCUGGACGGAACUAAAAAAGAAAGCCCGGCCAACCUCGGG